GACUCUUCUGCUGCGCAAAGUGUUGCAAAGUUGCAGACGUGCUCAAGCCCUCUGAGCGACUUGACAGGAGAACAGGAUGAUUACACAGGACACAUUUUUUCAUGACACCGUAGGACAGCUGUAAGCAUGUUCAGACUGUAAGAACUGUCCUCCAAACGAUCCUGGACUUCCCCGUGAAGGGAUUUGGCCGACAUGCAACUUCAGUGUUCCUGGACGGUAAGAUAACAGAUGCUCCUGUUAUGGUUCAGUUUUCCAACUUUAAUGACCACUGAUUACAUCCCCUUCCACUGCCAAAGGGCUAAGUAGUGCCAUUCAGAGAAACUAGAAGCUCGUAGACUUGUCAAGCAGAGCUGUUGACGUGUAGCUAAUACCCCAUAAUUACUGGUAAUGAUGUUUAGAACCACUGGUACAUGCAGGAUGUGCUUUCGGCAGCCCUGGAUUGCGGCAGGCAAAGGAACACUGGAGCUUUUGAGAUUUACUGUGCUCCUUGAGAGGAAAGGUACUUCAAGGUCUGUUUGAAGAUGCUGAUUAAUGAGAUAAAACUCACAAGAUGUGUGGCAGUGACUGAUUAUUGAAAGCUUCUGAAAGUGGAAAGAAGAGCUUAUAGAGACCUGUAGUUUAGGAGUGAACAAAGUCGAAAUCCUGUUCAGUGCUAAACAGCCAAAUUUCCUGUGAAAGGCUCAGAACAAAAUAUUCUUUCUGCCUCCUGCUCAGUCUAAACAUAUUCUCAGGUUUUCCGUUGUUGCCAUAUUGGGUGCACAUGGCUUCAGAUGCCAGUCAUCCACACGGAGCUCCUGCUGCAUGUUUAGAGAUUGGGAAGAAGUCUUUUUCCAUUUGAAUUUCAGGGGUUGAUGCAGCAAAUCAUUGAUAAAUAAAUCACAGCUUGAACAAUGAAAGUCUUUUAGCAAACCUACUUUCUGACUUUAAGACAAUCUUUUAUUGAAAAGUGUGAGAAAGGAGACACAGAUGUCUUGAAAUGGCCUGUAUCCUAUACUGGGCAUCUCCUUCUGCCUUGUUUUAUCUGUAACUGUUUGUAGGAAACAAUGAUUCAUUCUUUGUACCCGGGACUCUUUCGUGACGUUCAGUAGAUGUCUGUGUAAAACUAAUAUAUGCUACAGUCUGAAGAUGUUACUAAGUAGUUCUUGUUCCAAAAUACAGGUGAAGUGACUGUGAUUUUCAAUAGUUUUCCUGUCCAACUAUGCCAGUCAGUAACCAUUAAUAUUAGGGGGUACCAUCUAAGUGCACAGGAAGUUUCGAAGAUAAUUUAUUUAAAUUCAGCGUGUAAAAUGACCAUAAAUAUAACCUGUCCAAAUUACAGCUACAUACCCAUCUAUAAAUGCACAACCAUACAAUUCAUUUUUAAGCAUCCAACUUUUAGAUAACCUUGUGUAAAAAAUAAACAAGCAACAACCAAAGCUCUGACAAACACUAGGCAGUGCAACUUUCUUCUGUGAUGUAAAAUUGCAGAAAUGUGCCAACAGAUUUUUAAGAUUUUAAUCAUUUUCAAGCACACAAAAAAGGAAACCUUAGCUACACACUGCAUCUAAGCAUAGCCUCUGUAUCACAUUAUCAAAUACAACAGUCUCGGUUCACAAAUGUUAAA
Molecule: non-coding RNA, 1603 nt
Organism: Electrophorus electricus (electric eel)
Lineage: Eukaryota; Metazoa; Chordata; Actinopteri; Gymnotiformes; Gymnotidae
Source: RefSeq, a predicted model, not a curated record